Molecule: long non-coding RNA, 842 nt
Organism: Grammomys surdaster
Lineage: Eukaryota; Metazoa; Chordata; Mammalia; Rodentia; Muridae
Exons: 2
Source: RefSeq, a predicted model, not a curated record
UCACCUGCUGCAGCUCUUUGGCAGAAGGUCCAGGGCUUUUCUGGAAGUCCUGCCGGUCUCUGCCUCCAUGAGAAAAAGGGUCGUAGGCAUGCCCGUGGCUUCAUGAAUCUUCACUUUGAUGACAGAGACCUGUGGGAUCAAAGAAAGUCCAUUCAUUCCCUUGUUGACUGUCUGGAAAAAGCUGACCCACUGACUUCCAAGCACCCGUACCAAUUAGGGGUGGCAAAACAUACCUGGUCUGUGAGUGGGAGAGUGAAGACCAGCCCCUGACCAUUCAGCUUCCAUUCCGUCUUAUCCUGCAUGUUGGGUACCUGCACUUUGAUGGACACUGGACCCUGCAAAUGCAGUGCUCAUUAUGCCUGGAAAGGCUCAAGCCAAUAAGGAGCUAUGCUCUACUAUCAGUGGCUCAUACAAAUAAGGACUCCUGCCCCUCUUGCCCAUUUACUGCUGAUGCCAGGUGUGACAAUACACAAGGCUUCAUUGCUUUUUUAUUAUUUUUCUAGACAGGCUUAAAGGUAGGAGUCAGGGCCAGCCUAGGCUGGCCUCAAACCUCCUGUCUCUAGAGUUCUGAGACUAAGUGUAUAUUAUCAUAUUGUUUCAUCCCUGUUCCUUAAAUAGACCCUUCGUGCUUUCCAGUGAAUUCUGCAAUGUCAAGGACCAGUAGGGUAAAUAUGAUCUGUGAUACUGGGUUCAAACUCAGCAGACAAGAUACCUGAGCUCAAUGCUAUAUGCCUGUAUGAAACAGACUGCUGGGACCAUGAAAGAAAAUAAUCUGAACCUUUGGUAGGUGCUCAAGGAACUGACAGACAUUAGUCUUAGAAAAAUAAAAAUUUUGUCAAAUU